AAGGAUUCCCUUAGUAAUGGCGAAUGAACAGGGAUGAGCUCAGCAUUGAAAUCUGGGCCCUGGCCCUGAAUUGUAAUCUCGAGAAGUGCAACCAACAGCGGCGCAGGUGUAAGCCUCUUGGAAAAGAGCACCAGUGAGGGUGAGAGUCCCGUGUGUCACCUGCAGUCCUCUGUGUACGGUGUGCUUUCUAAGAGUCACGUUCCUCGGGCUUGGAGCGCCAAAGGUGGUAAAUUUCAUCUAAAGCUAAAUAUAGGUUUGAGACCGAUAGCAAACAAGUACCAUGAGGGAAAGAUGAAAAGGACUUUGGAAAGAGAGUUAAAAGUGCCUGAAAUCGCUGAAAGGGAAGCGAAUGGGACCAGUGUUUCUUGUGGAGCUUGCUGGGCGUAAUCUGGAUGGAGUUCUGGUGCAGCGCAAGCGUACCUGAGCUUUUUGAAAGUGCGUGCUUGGUGCUGCUCUGCUUGUGUGUCAACGUCGGUUUGGAGAUGUGGAAAACCCGGGGGAAAUGGAUGCCUUCUUAUGGGGGGGUGAAUGUUCCUCGUGGAAUUCAUUUCCAAACUGAAAUUCUUGUGUUAAUGUUCACCACCUCAUUCUUUGCUUGCAGCCCUGGGUAAUUCAGCAGGUGCUCUGCUGGCUGUGGGUGUGUUCAUGACACAUCAAUGCUGACAAAAUGGUCUCACUCGACCCGUCUUGAAACACGGACCAAGGAGUCUAACAUAUGUGCAAGUUCCUGGGUGGCUAAACCUGUUGGCGUAAUGAAAGUGACUGCUGGGAUUUCUGCACCAGCAACCGACUGACCAAUUGAGAGAGGUUUGAGUAUGAGCACAUCUGUUAGGACCCGAAAGAUGGUGAACUAUGCCUGAGAAGGGUGAAGUCAGGGGAAACUCUGAUGGAGGCUCAUAGCGAUACUGACGUGCAAAUCGUUCGUCAUACUUGGGUAUAGGGGCGAAAGACUAAUCGAACCAUCUAGUAGCUGGUUCCCUCCGAAGUUUCCCUCAGAUAGCUGGAGUUGA
Molecule: ribosomal RNA, 1010 nt
Filed under: Gyrodinium jinhaense
Lineage: Eukaryota; Dinophyceae; Gymnodiniales; Gymnodiniaceae
Description: partial large subunit ribosomal RNA
Rfam family: Eukaryotic large subunit ribosomal RNA
Source: RNAcentral